GCACAAAAAUGAUAGCGCAGUUAAGCAUAAAAACAGAGUCAGAAGUGGACUCAGACACCUCACUGGAGCUUUGCAACUAUGGUGAGGCUCCGACGAGUAAAAGCUACCUCUGGUAGGUAGUUCAAGGUUCUUUCCUUUGAUGCUCUACUGCUUCUAUGAAUGUUUGCCUCUCCUUCUCUCCUCCUUUCUCUGAGUACUGUAGCUUUGUUGAUUGAUGAGCUUUAUUAAGGGCGUAGGUAUGGGAUUGAGGAGAGAUUCAAUGGCAAUUUUUCGUAUCUCUUGAGAGUGCAAUGAGAAUCUGUUAGAAGAUUUUGGAGGGAGAAUUCACCAAUGAUCCUUGUGAAUUGAUAGAGUGUAAGGAUGAGAUUAGUUUGUUGAAAAAUCUGUAGUGAUCCGUGUUUGUUGAGGGAAUGAUUAUGAGUUGAUGAUGGAUGGAAAUUGAUGAUGAUAAUUUGAUGAAUGAUGGAUCAUGGUGGUGAUGGAUAUUUGGAUUCACGCGUUGUUUGAAGUGGUAUGAGUAUGUUGAAUGAUGAUGGGAUAAUGGUGAACACAAAGUGCAUGGUGAAACAGAUGAUGACGAGCAUGGUUUUAAAUUACGGUCGCAGCUAUGGAUGCGGUUGCGGUCACUACGGAUGCGGCUAUUGCAGUUAUUACCAUGUAGAUUGCGGUCGUUGCGGUGUGAAUUUAUAUCUAUGAACAUAAAAUAUUAUAUUUUAUUAUUUAUUUUAGAUUUCUCGCCUUCCA
This is a long non-coding RNA of Lathyrus oleraceus (garden pea), 744 nucleotides long. RefSeq lists it as uncharacterized. The transcript is spliced from 2 exons. The record is from RefSeq and is a predicted model, not a curated record. Lineage: Eukaryota; Viridiplantae; Streptophyta; Magnoliopsida; Fabales; Fabaceae.